GAAAAAAGUUCGUGGAUUGUCAAGCAUAUGUUCACUUCCUCUUGUGAAGGAGCUGGGUGAGAAAAUAGAAAAUGUUAUAAAAAAUAAGUUACCUUCCAAAGAUUUUGAUGGAGAUAAAUUCAAUGCCUUUUCGACCUUGAGAGGAUAUCAUUGGCGAGGCAGGGACUGUGACAACAGAACGGCCUCUGUGUAUCCGGGGAGACACCCUGAUAAUUGGGAUGCUCAGCAGGGAUUCUAACUGUAAUGGCAUAUGGG
Molecule: long non-coding RNA, 255 nt
Organism: Heteronotia binoei (common prickly gecko)
Lineage: Eukaryota; Metazoa; Chordata; Lepidosauria; Squamata; Gekkonidae
Exons: 4
Source: RefSeq, a predicted model, not a curated record